Molecule: long non-coding RNA, 2744 nt
Organism: Zonotrichia leucophrys gambelii
Lineage: Eukaryota; Metazoa; Chordata; Aves; Passeriformes; Passerellidae
Exons: 2
Source: RefSeq, a predicted model, not a curated record
AGUCAGUUGGCUGCUGUGAGGACAAGGAACAGUCAGUGCCCAGAGGAGCUGCCCACAAGAAACAUUAAAGAGGAAUCUGGAAUCUGCAUUUUUGAGGAUUUCCCUACUCCAUGGAGUUUAGCAGGAUGGUAAAAGGGCAAUCACACAAACUGGCCAAAGCCAGCACCAUUUAAAACCCUUGCAUGCAUCUCGUUUUAGCCUCUGCUGUUGCUUUUGCUCCUCAGUUUUCCACCUCAGCCUCACCAGUGGCUCCCAGGGGAGGACACUGUUCAUUUUACAUAAAAGUGGUGUAAAACAUGAGCAGCAAUCAUUCAGCUUCCAAGGAAUACUGUUGCUCUGCUUUUCUUCUGCAUUCAGCCCUGAAUGAAGAAAAUGAGAAAUGUGGGAUGCUUGGAAAGUACAAAUAAAAGAAGCCACCACAAAUGUUUGUAUUGAUCUCAGUUCAGAAGAAAAUUAAAAAUGCUUGCCUGAAAAUCCAGAUGGAUGGCCACUGAAUAUGUAGUCCAAAGACAUUUCCACUAAGAAAAAUCCUAUUGGAAAAGCAUGAUGGAACAAUUCAAUUCUAAAUAAAUGCUCCAAGUAAUUUGAAUCUCCUUACAGGAGUCAAUGCCAAGGGGUUCCAUUUUCACCACAGUCUCACACAGUAAAUAAAAUAGGAGCCAAAAAACAUUUAUUGGUUAAUAUGUAGGCAAGUACAUGCUCUUGUGAUCAGCUUGAUGACAGGUUUUAAGAAUUUAAUUUUGAACAAAUUUUCUAACAACUCUUUCAAAAUCACACACUUGGGAGUACACAUGAAAACAUGUACAGACACCAGUUGAUUAACAUGAUGGAUUUGAGUUUCUGUAAUUUAGCAUUAACUGAUCACUGAUUGUCUCCCAUCCUUAUGUACAUCAGCCACUAUUGUACUUAUUUCCAUUGGUUUUUAAAAUCUCUUAAGCAUUUUUAAAUCCCUAGAGAAUAAGGAAGUGGGUAGCUCAUACAAAAGAGGUUUUUCAUUAGAAAAAAAAGCUUCAGAGUCACUUCUCUUUGUAGCAGCUGAAGAUCUGCCACAGAAUUUAUCCAGCAAAAAUACCAAUCUUCAAGCACUGUUAUGAAGAGUUUUGUGGUUUUUUUCAGAGCUUGUAAUUGGGUGAAAGAUGAGUAACAAACAGGUGCCUUUUGUGACAAGUUUAGAGGUUUACAGACGAGUAAAUUAACUUUAAAAAAAUCAAUUCAGGAUUUCCUUUAAAUUUUAUCUAUUAAUGCCUGCUGGAGUCUGAUGUCUAAACUGAACAAAUAUUUCUGAGUUAUUUAUUACAAAGAGUAUUGGCUAUGAAAUCUGCCUCUUAUUCAGCACUUGAGUGUUUCACACUCUUCAUUUUCCCCUGUUUCAUUCCUCAUCCAGACAGCCCAAAUGUAUUUCCCCCCACAAUUUAAUCAUUAUGAGGGGAAAACCCUCACCCUUACCCUGGGUAAGGCUUGCACAUUACAUUUUUUAACUUGUAAAUGUCUGCUUCUCAACAAGAUCAACCAGAAGUAAAUGUGCUUCUGCAACUAGUUCUUUAAAGUGAGAUUUAUAGUGAGAUUCCCAGUGUUGCUUGGUUUGUAACCUUUGGAAUUACUGAAUUCCCAUCCAAUUAGGCACAAGCUCUGAGCAAUGAGCCACCCUGACUCAGAGUAUCUAGAAUGCAGGUAAAAAUCUCUUGUUUAUUCAGGGAGCAUCUCCUCAGUAUUUGCACAUGAUGAAGGAGAGCAGAGACUCUGAACUCCCCUGUUAUACCAAACAAUAACAGUUUUGAUGUGGGUCUGAUGCUCCUUUCAAGCAAAUAUGGAAAUUAAAGGAACACCCAAAGCUCUAUCUCAACCACACUAAUCCUGUGAAAGCAGUGACUCACCUCGUAAUGGCUUUCCAUAAAUUAGGCAGCUAAAAAUGGGUAGGAAGCAUGAAACCAUUCACAGUUCCUACAGUGUAAAUUCUCUCACUGCAUGUGAAGAAAAUCCAUGGCAGUAAAAAUAAGAGAUGAAGGUGUCAGCACUCGUCAUGUUUAAAUAUGCUGUUAAUAAUUCAGAUUUUCCUCCCUUGGAGCCCAUGGCUUCAGGAUGAAUCACUCUAUUUCCUUCCUCAAAUGAAAGCUGAGCUGCUGUUGCUUUCUAAUCCCAUAUGUUUUCUUCCCAGCUAUGAGAAGAGAAGAAGCCAAGGUGGCCAAAUGUGUUAUUCACAGUGGAACAAUGAUGUGAGAUAGGAAUGAUGAUUUUUCAAUAUAUCCACAGCUAAUUCUUGCUUUUAUCCCACCUUUGUUUUAUGAUACCUCACUGUGUGUGCAGUCACCUUCUACCCUCCACACUGCCAUGGACAUGAGUGAUGGUAAAAGUGACAAAAUUGAUAAAAAGUGACCCAAAAGCAAAGCCCUCAGAGCUGAGGGGAACAGGAGUCACUGCAUCUUUGGGAGCAGCACUGCCUUGGACCUGGCAGGGAUACAGUGCCAAGGGCUGCCACUGUCACUUCUGCUCUGACCAGGUGCACCAGGGGAAAAUAAGGGUUGAAAACUGAAAUUUUAGGGCUGGUAUCUAAGCUUAGCUGGGAACUAAGAUAGCAUGGUUAUACAAAAAACGAAAACAAACCCCAAAAACACAACCAAAAAGUGGUGCCAGACACGACAAAGUGCACAAUUUUCUCAUGGCACAGGAAGGACUGUUCCAGAGCAUCCCAGAAAAGGUGAGAACACAUGGCCUCACACAGGGAGCUGGCAAAGGCUCAACACUGU